UGGGUUUUGGGUUUUUUUUGAGCCCCUUUUUUUGUUUUGUUUUUUAUUUUCUUAGUGUUGUACAUUAUUAUAUAUGUUAGGUUAUCAUGGUCAUCUCAGUAGAAAGCUCUUGAGUAGAUGGUUUUUUUGUUUUUGAGAAUCAGCCCAAGGAGAUUCAUAUUAUGUGGCCAUAGCUGGGUAAUAUUAUUCUGAGCUAUGUGAAGUUGCUGGUUUUGUUGCUCAAAUGUUAGCAGUUUCAUAAUACAUAUUCAAGAAACAACCAAACAAAAGAUCUUUUCGAAGAGCUAUUUCAACUUCCCAAUUCAACUCUUUUAACCAACCUACCAGAGGCUUUAUAAAGAUUCAAACUGCAGAUAACCAGAGGCCUAUCAAGAAAAUUCUGCUUUGUUUUGCUGUUAAAUUGCCCAGUUUUCAAAGGUAUUUAAGCAAAAUGACUUCAGUAAUUGAAGCAAAUAUCUUUGGGGAAUGCUUAAGUUACGUAAGUUUUUUCAUUAAAUCUGUGUAUAGUUU
RNAcentral lists this long non-coding RNA (510 nucleotides) under Bos taurus (domestic cattle). Its description in RNAcentral is "long non-coding RNA NONBTAT024034". Lineage: Eukaryota; Metazoa; Chordata; Mammalia; Artiodactyla; Bovidae. The record is from RNAcentral.